This 372-nucleotide ribosomal RNA is filed under the name Enterococcus faecium. RNAcentral's name for it is "bacterial LSU rRNA". It matches the Rfam family "Bacterial large subunit ribosomal RNA", at positions 2556 to 2925 of the family's 2925-position model. The record is from RNAcentral. Lineage: Bacteria; Bacillati; Bacillota; Bacilli; Lactobacillales; Enterococcaceae.
UAGUCGGUCCCAAGGGUUGGGCUGUUCGCCCAUUAAAGCGGCGCGCGAGCUGGGUUCAGAACGUCGUGAGACAGUUCGGUCCCUAUCCGUCGCGGGCGUUGGAAAUUUGAGAGGAGCUGUCCUUAGUACGAGAGGACCGGGAUGGACUUACCGCUGGUGUACCAGUUGUUCUGCCAAGGGCAUUGCUGGGUAGCUAUGUAGGGAAGGGAUAAACGCUGAAAGCAUCUAAGUGUGAAGCCCACCUCAAGAUGAGAUUUCCCAUUUCUUUAAGAAAGUAAGAUUCCUGAGAGAUGAUCAGGUAGAUAGGUCAGGAGUGGAAGUACAGUGAUGUAUGGAGCGGACUGAUACUAAUCGAUCGAGGACUUAACCAAU